AUUGCUUUUCCUAAAGUAAGGAAAUUAGGGAAAGGAAAACGAAGAUGGAAGAAAUUAGAAAACUAGCAGUUGAUGAAGGCAGGUUCUCAGCUUCCUAGAAUCUUAACACAAAAAUCCGCUCUGUUCAGUGUUCUGCCGUGAGAUUAAAAACAACUGCUUUAGAGAAAACCAUUAUACCUAUUUUUUAAGACCCGAGGAAAUGUCUCAUGGGUUCCCUAACGGCUGUCAGACUACAAGCCAUGCUUGGCUGUUCAGAGAAUAAAUAGCAGGCUUUUAAAAGGAAGAAAGCCUGUACAGAAACAUUUAAUGAAACUUUGAGCAACUGGGAUAAAUUCAAGGGGUUGCAUUCUAAAUAUAGCAAAUAUAAGAAAAACUCAUGAAAAAAUUUUCAGUACCAUCUCUGGAAUGUGUGCAGGUGCUCAUUCAGUUCAGUCUCUCAAUGACAACUACUGUUUAGAAUAACCAACUACAUCUUAUUGAAAGCAUGCAGUUAGGAUUAACAAAAUGAUUACAAACUCCCCAAAGCAUCUGACUAGAAUGUAAAAUUCAGGUGCAUUCAAAUUAUAAUUUAUUUCCCUGAAGCAGGGUCAGUAGCAUGACUUGUCUUAAGCAGAUCGGUGUUUUAUCAGAGUUGGAAUGUUUCAAACUAUGAAAUGCGGGUUUAGCUAACUAUGGAGGUGGUUCUGAAAUGUAAAGUUACCAAUAAACACUGAACACCAGCUGCGAGAAAGGGGAAACUUAUAGGUUCAG
RNAcentral lists this long non-coding RNA (750 nucleotides) under Bos taurus (domestic cattle). Its description in RNAcentral is "long non-coding RNA NONBTAT018385". The record is from RNAcentral. Lineage: Eukaryota; Metazoa; Chordata; Mammalia; Artiodactyla; Bovidae.